GACGAACGUUGGCGGCGUGCCUAACACAUGCAAGUCGAACGAAAGUAGCAAUACUUUAGUGGCGCACGGGUGAGUAACACGUAGCUUACCUCCCUCUCAGCGCGGGAUAACGACUCGAAAGAGUUGCUAAUACCGCAUAAGCUCACGGGUUCUAGAGACUUGUGAGAAAAGGUGCAAAUCACUGAGAGACGGGGCUGCGGCCCAUCAGCUAGUUGGCGCGGAAAGGCGCACCAAGGCGACGACGGGUAGGGGACCUGAGAGGGUGACCCCCCACACUGGGACUGAGACACGGCCCAGACUCCUACGGGAGGCAGCAGUGAGGAAUAUUGCACAAUGGGCGCAAGCCUGAUGCAGCGACGCCGCGUGGGUGAUGAAGGUCUUCGGAUCGUAAACGUCCCUUUUCUGCGUGACGAGACAGGACGGUAGCGC
This 429-nucleotide ribosomal RNA is filed under the name uncultured bacterium. Its description in RNAcentral is "bacterial SSU rRNA". It matches the Rfam family "Bacterial small subunit ribosomal RNA", at positions 28 to 481 of the family's 1533-position model. The record is from RNAcentral.